GACGAACGCUGGCGGCGUGCCUAACACAUGCAAGUCGAGCGGAGUCGAUCGACGGAAGCCUUCGGGCGGAAGAUGGUUGACUUAGCGGCGGAUGGGUGAGUAACGCGUGGGCAACCUGCCUCGAAGACCGGGAUAACAGCCCGAAAGGGCUGCUAAUACCGGAUGUGGUCAAGGAUCCGCAUGGAUUUUUGAUUAAAGGGGAAACCCGUUUCGAGAUGGGCCCGCGUCCUAUCAGCUAGUUGGUGAGGUAAAAGCUCACCAAGGCGACGACGGGUAGCCGGCCUGAGAGGGUGACCGGCCACACUGGAACUGAGACACGGUCCAGACUCCUACGGGGGGCAGCAGUGGGGAAUCUUCCACAAUGGGCAAAGCCUGAUGGAGCGACGCCGCGUGAGCGAAGAAGGCCUUCGGGUUGUAAAGCUCUGUCUGGAGGGACGAAGGAAGUGACGGUACCUCCGGAGGAAGCCACGGCAACUACGUG
This 481-nucleotide ribosomal RNA is filed under the name uncultured bacterium. RNAcentral describes it as "bacterial SSU rRNA". It matches the Rfam family "Bacterial small subunit ribosomal RNA", at positions 28 to 507 of the family's 1533-position model. The record is from RNAcentral.